GGAUGAGCCCGCGGCCUAUCAGCUUGUUGGUGAGGUAGUGGCUCACCAAGGCGACGACGGGUAGCCGGCCUGAGAGGGCGACCGGCCACACUGGGACUGAGACACGGCCCAGACUCCUACGGGAGGCAGCAGUGGGGAAUAUUGCACAAUGGGCGAAAGCCUGAUGCAGCGACGCCGCGUGAGGGAUGACGGCCUUCGGGUUGUAAACCUCUUUCAGCAGGGAAGAAGCGAAAGUGACGGUACCUGCAGAAGAAGCGCCGGCUAACUACGUGCCAGCAGCCGCGGUAAUACGUAGGGCGCAAGCGUUGUCCGGAAUUAUUGGGCGUAAAGAGCUCGUAGGCGGUCUGUCGCGUCGGAUGUGAAAGCCCGGGGCUUAACCCCGGGUCUGCAUUCGAUACGGGCAGACUAGAGUGUGGUAGGGGAGAUCGGAAUUCCUGGUGUAGCGGUGAAAUGCGCAGAUAUCAGGAGGAACACCGGUGGCGAAGGCGGAUCUCUGGGCCAUUACUGACGCUGAGGAGCGAAAGCGUGGGGAGCGAACAGGAUUAGAUACCCUGGUAGUCCACGCCGUAAACGGUGGGAACUAGGUGUUGGCGACAUUCCACGUCGUCGGUGCCGCAGCUAACGCAUUAAGUUCCCCGC
RNAcentral lists this ribosomal RNA (639 nucleotides) under uncultured Streptomyces sp. RNAcentral describes it as "bacterial SSU rRNA". It matches the Rfam family "Bacterial small subunit ribosomal RNA", at positions 223 to 872 of the family's 1533-position model. The record is from RNAcentral. Lineage: Bacteria; Bacillati; Actinomycetota; Actinomycetes; Kitasatosporales; Streptomycetaceae.